This 253-nucleotide ribosomal RNA is filed under the name uncultured bacterium. RNAcentral's name for it is "partial 16S ribosomal RNA". It matches the Rfam family "Bacterial small subunit ribosomal RNA", at positions 524 to 776 of the family's 1533-position model. The record is from RNAcentral.
UACAGAGGGUGCAAGCGUUAAUCGGAUUUACUGGGCGUAAAGCGUGCGUAGGCGGUUCAUUAAGUCGGUUGUGAAAUCCCUGGGCUUAACCUGGGAACUGCAGUCGAUACUGGUGGACUAGAAUGCGGUAGAGGGUGGCGGAACUCCGGGUGUAGCGGUGAAAUGCGUAGAUAUCCGGAAGAACACCGAUGGCGAAGGCAACCACCUGGGCCUGCAUUGACGCUGAGGUACGAAAGCGUGGGGAGCAAACAGG